GUCAACCAUCUAAUUAUCAGCCAACCCUAGCCGCCCUCCUCUUCCUCAUGCGUCCAGCGUUGGCUGCUCCCCAGAUUGCAUCUCCUCUCUUUGUCUCGAUCUACUGCGUCCCGCCCAAUGAAGAAACUGUCUCCCUCAAUCCUUCUCUCAGGCCAUCUCCCUCAAUCCUUCUCUGAGGCCGUCUCCCACAUAGACUCCUUCAAGCCUCUCCAUCCAUGUGUGUCGAGCAAUCCUUGCUUUUCCCCAUGUGUCCAGCAACCUAUCCCUCCUCUUCCCCAUGUGUCCAGCGUUGGCCACUCCCCCAAUUGCACCUCCUCUCUGCAUCUCGAUCUGCUGCGUUCGUACCAGUACAUCCACGCCAUGGUCUUUCUCAUACUACGGUGGAGAAUCAGAUGGGCAGAUGACACCCAGUCUUAUUAUUUUUUAUUUGGGGGAUGAAGAAGACAAGGGAGAGCACACCAUACUGCUGGAGAAGAAUUAUUUAAUCCAUCGCUGCUGUUAGGACUCAUGCAUGCCCUCUUGCCGGAAAAACAACAGCAGCAGUUACCCCGGUAUGGCAUGCAAGCAAAGUACAACUUGAUAAUUUUGAGCUCUUCUUAUACUAUAUCAGCGAUGAUUGUGGCAACCCUACACAUAGUGAAGCAAUUUGGGAAGAUAACAUAGAGCUUUCAGUUGAGCGAUUUCUUAAGGCCCAGUAAGCAUGGGAUUACAUACAUAGCAUUUUUCCUUUUUCCAGGUGUGUAUGAUUUUCUUGAUUAAUCUUUCUAAAAAUAUGCCUCCUUUUCUUUAGUUGGUCUGAGGGGAAGGGGAUUCCUUCAAAUUAAAGAACAGAAUUAACACCAACACAAAUUCAAUCCCCAAUGUCUGCAGUUGAUCUGUUCCAUGCUUUCAACUGAGGUGCGGGACUCCAUACAUAAAUUUUAAGGUUCAAGUAAAUAUUAUAAUGGCACAUGGUUCGCCAAUUUUAAUUAUUUUUAUUCUACUCACACAUUAUGAUUUUUCCUUCGAUGAUUAACUUCACAUUGAAUUCUUUCUCAAGAAGUAACUAUUAAAUUUGUAUGAAAAAUAAAUUUAUUAAUGUUAUUAUUAUAUUCCACAUGGUUUUGCACCUAUAUACUAUGAUGGCACAAUUGGAGAAUCAUGUGUCAGUAACAAAAACCAAUUCAGGAAUCAUCAAUGGAAUAUAUUUCCUGCAGAGGCCAGCAUGUACAUGCGACUGCAUGCAUAUACAUGGUAGGUGUUGUUUAGGCGCAGCAUAUACAGUGGUAGCAUGGCAACCAGAGAUAGCGGCAGAGCUUCAUGGCUUCGAUGACCCCUGGCCCGUAAACCUACAAAGAACUUGCCGAAUAGCCGUACCUCUUUGAUGUCGUUGAGUUUCUCCUCGGUUGUCCAUUCCCAUCUCCACAGGCAAGUAGCCUGCCGUCAUUAUUUUAAUUUCCUAAUUUAUUUCCAGUCUAUUGGACUCACGAGGAAUCCCAAUAAAUUAUGUUGAUACCUGGCGUCUUAUAAAAAAGAAAUUCACCAUGUACGUGCCCAUCAAAUUCAGUCUAGACUUUAAUAUGUUGUGGAUAGGAGCCAAUUCAGUAAGUUGUGGCGCGAACAACUAAACAAUGGGUGUACGGAGCUCACUAAAUAUCUUACUUUAUUAGAAUUUCUACUAAUUCAUUUGAUUCCUUUCUUCUACGGUGUUUUAACUCCUAAUAAUCUUCUGACAAUGAAGUGGAGGACGAUGUGUAGUUCUAUCUCUAACGGUGAGGCUGUCCAGUGAACAAAACUGCAGCGUACUGGUGACACUGUGAUCCCAGCUCUAUUCUUCGUCCUUCAAAGAAAAUCCAUCACAGAAUAAAGAACCAUGCAAUCAGCAUAGUCCCUAAAUUUUUAUCAAUAAAAACUCGGUUCAGUACUGGUGGUCUGCAACUCUGCAUCCUCUUCAGUAGCACUAGGUAAUCUAUAUGCAGUAGAGACAGUUCAUUCUGAUGUUUAUGGAAAGCUUAAAUUAUGUGUUUCCGUGUUACCAUAUGUUAGCCAACAAAAUGAGUUGAUGUUGUGUUUCCAUGCUACACGUAUAUGUUUCAUUCAAGUAUGUUCUAAAUCUCCAGUUAUCUGCCUGGUACAUCUCUGACUAUCCUUUGUGUCAGAGUUAAUUAUGUGAAGGUAUGAUGAUUAGGAUCAAAUAUCCUUCGUGUCAAAGUUAUAUGUUUGUAUACUUUUUAUUAGAUCGGGUAGUUAGAUUUUAAACCGACUGGCCAUACAUGUAGCUCAAAUAGUAUUUGAGCUGCACAUGUUUCUUAGUUGCAUAUAUAGUUCUGUGAUGUAUGAAAAAAUGGAGUCAGAAUUCAGAGAUUAAAUAUGACCGUAAACAUGAAUGUUUUUCUUUCAUAUUGCUAGGCUGGGGAACUAUAUUUCUGAAUUUUGAGUAAUGGAACAACAUUUUUGUAUUGCAGCACUGAAUUUUGUUUAGAUGACCUUGGAGCUUUUCAAUAGUGCCAUGUACAACUUUAGCAAGAAGCAUCUUCUAUCUGGUGUUGUGUUCUCCAACUAUAUUUUUCCUAAUUUUUGGCUAGAUGCUGGAUGAAAUUCCUGCCGGAGAUUUUUUUAUUUCAUUACCAGAGAUACAAGUGAAAGUCGAAGGAGAAUCUAUGAAACGACCAUCGGGUUCUAUGAUAAAUUUGUUUGUGGGAGAGAAUGGUGCGUAGUCAGCAAUAACAAGCCCUGAUCAGCAGGGUCUGAGAGUGGCAUGAGUAUUUGGUAUGUUCUACUCUACAAGCAAAAAUAAAGCACAUUGGUAUUUCUGAUUAAUGUGAAAAUAACUUAUCAUUAUCUGUACUGGAGAUUUCAUUGGUUCUUACGGACAUUACCAUUGUAACUGCUAUUCUGAUAAAGGUGGUGGCGCCAAACCACUACAGAACAAGAAAUUUAAGGAUUGGUGGUAAUGUUA
Aegilops tauschii subsp. strangulata is the source of this 2938-nucleotide non-coding RNA. NCBI's taxonomy places the organism in Eukaryota, Viridiplantae, Streptophyta, Magnoliopsida, Poales, Poaceae. The record is from RefSeq and is a predicted model, not a curated record.